CGUAUGCAACCUACCCUUAACUGGGGAAUAACCCUGUGAAAGCGGGGCUAAUACCCCAUAACAUUAUGGUAAGGCAUCUUACUAUUAUCAAAGAUUUAUCGGUUAGGGAUGGGCAUGCGCCCCAUUAGUUAGUUGGUUAGGUAACGGCUAACCAAGACUGUGAUGGGUAGGGGUUCUGAGAGGAUUAUCCCCCACACUGGUACUGAGACACGGACCAGACUCCUACGGGAGGCAGCAGUAAGGAAUAUUGGGCAAUGGACGCAAGUCUGACCCAGCCAUGCCGCGUGCAGGAUGACGGCCUUAUGGGUUGUAAACUGCUUUUGUAUGGGAUUAAAGUGUUGUACGUGUACGACAUUGCAAGUACCAUACGAAUAAGCAUCGGCUAACUCCGUGCCAGCAGCCGCGGUAAUACGGAGGAUGCAAGCGUUAUCCGGAAUCAUUGGGUUUAAAGGGUGCGUAGGUUGAUUAUUAAGUCAGUGGUGAAAAUUCCGGGCUCAACCCGGGACUUGCCGUUGAAACUGAUAAUCUUGAGUGUAACUGAUGUGGGCGGAAUGUGUCAAGUAGCGGUGAAAUGCAUAGAUAUGACACAGAACACCGAUAGCGAAGGCAGCUCACAAAAUUACAACUGACACUGAGGCACGAAAGCGUGGGUAUCAAACAGGAUUAGAUACCCUGGUAGUCCACGCUGUAAACGAUGAUCACUAGCUGUUUGCGAUACAUUGUAAGUGGUUAAGCGAAAGCGAUAAGUGAUCCACCUGGGGAGUACGUCGGCAACGAUGAAACUCAAAGGAAUUGACGGGGGCCCGCACAAGCGGAGGAGCAUGUGGUUUAAUUCGAUGAUACGCGAGGAACCUUACCUGGGCUUGAACGUAUGGUGCAUGAGUGUGAAAGCACUCUUUCCUUCACAGGACUUCAUACGAGGCGCUGCAUGGUUGUCGUCAGCUCGUGCCGUGAGGUGUUAGGUUAAGUCCUGCAACGAGCCCAACCCCUGUUUUUAGUUGCCAGCAGGUUAUGCUGGGCACUCUAGAAAGACUGCCUGCACAAGCAGAGAGGAAGGUGGGGAUGAUGUCAAAUCAGCACG
Molecule: ribosomal RNA, 1081 nt
Filed under: uncultured organism
Description: bacterial SSU rRNA
Rfam family: Bacterial small subunit ribosomal RNA
Source: RNAcentral